RNAcentral lists this transfer RNA (70 nucleotides) under Lachnospiraceae bacterium 3_1_46FAA. RNAcentral's name for it is "tRNA-Lys". It matches the Rfam family "tRNA". Rfam says of the family: Transfer RNA (tRNA) molecules are approximately 80 nucleotides in length. Their secondary structure includes four short double-helical elements and three loops (D, anti-codon, and T loops). Lineage: Bacteria; Bacillati; Bacillota; Clostridia; Lachnospirales; Lachnospiraceae. The record is from RNAcentral.
AAACAGUUAGCUCAUUGGUAGAGCGCCACGCUUUUGUGGGGGGUAAUCGGUUCGAGUCCGAUACUGGUUC